GAUUUGAUAUGGUGAAUCUUCUAGUUUCGUUUGGAGGAGUCUGGAGAAGGGAGAACUUGAUGUACCUGUCACUGCUACUCUUCAAUCUUGGCUUUGCCUCUGGCGCUCCUCUUUCAUCUUUGAUGUGGAGUGUUCCAAAAUCUGCAGAAAGAACUGGUUCUACCUUGAGGCCCCCAUUCCUCUUGUCCUAUCUCCCUCUGCUACGUCUGGAGAACAGCUCUAGGGGACCUGGCAAAAGUCUACUGGGAAAACUCAGGACUCUGCAUCUUGGAUAGAGGUUCGGGCUGCACGUGCACUGGAGUGGCGAUUAAUAGGAGGAGGUGGAAGCCUUGUUUGCUGCCUGAAGUGUAAGGGGUCAAACCUAAGGGGGACUGACAGCAGAAGGCCAUCGGAGUUUUAUUGCCUUCCAGGAUACAACUGCUUGUGUGGUGUCUGUGGAAAGUGGAGGAAAGUAGCAUUUUUAUACCCUUUUUAACUUUAGAAGUUGUAUUCGUUUAAUUCCUUAUGAACAAAAUUACUUUCAUUGCAUUUUAUGAUCUACAAAAUGCCUUAUUGUAAUUCCUGAGUCUGAAUCACUGGACUGACCUAGGUUAGACCUGGCCUAGAAUGUGUGUGUUUAUAUCACACAUACAUAUGUACAUAUACAUACAUAUUUCUUUAAAUAAAGAUGCAUUCACUUUUAUCUCUCUUCGUUGU
Molecule: long non-coding RNA, 696 nt
Filed under: Phascolarctos cinereus (koala)
Lineage: Eukaryota; Metazoa; Chordata; Mammalia; Diprotodontia; Phascolarctidae
Description: lncRNA (ENSPCIG00000011210.2)
Source: RNAcentral